GCCAGGUGUGGUGGUGCACACCUGUAAUCCCAGCUACUUGGGAGGCUGAGACAGGAGAAUUGCUUGAACCCGGGAGGUGGAGGUUGCAGUGAGCCAAGAGUGCACCAUUGCACUCCAGUCUGGGUGACAGAGCAAGACUCUGUCUCAA
RNAcentral lists this small RNA (148 nucleotides) under Callithrix jacchus (white-tufted-ear marmoset). RNAcentral's name for it is "Metazoan signal recognition particle RNA (ENSCJAG00000077245.1)". Lineage: Eukaryota; Metazoa; Chordata; Mammalia; Primates; Cebidae. The record is from Rfam by way of RNAcentral.